AUUGAACGCUGGCGGCAUGCCUUACACAUGCAAGUCGAACGGCAGCACGGGUGCUUGCACCUGGUGGCGAGUGGCGAACGGGUGAGUAAUACAUCGGAACGUACCUUAUCGUGGGGGAUAACGCAGCGAAAGCUGCGCUAAUACCGCAUACGCCCUGAGGGGGAAAGCGGGGGAUCGAAAGACCUCGCGCGAUUAGAGCGGCCGAUGCCUGAUUAGCUUGUUGGUGGGGUAAAAGCCCACCAAGGCGACGAUCAGUAGCUGGUCUGAGAGGACGAUCAGCCACACUGGGAGUGAGACACGGCCCAGACUCCUACGGGUGGCAGCAGUGGGGAAUUUUGGACAAUGGGGGCAACCCUGAUCCAGCAAUGCCGCGUGAGUGAAGAAGGCCUUCGGGUUGUAAAGCUCUUUUGUCAGGGAAGAAACACCGGCUCUAACACAGUCCGGGAAUGACGGUACCUGAAGAAUAAGCACCGGCUAACUACGUGCCAGCCGCCGCGGUAA
RNAcentral lists this ribosomal RNA (501 nucleotides) under uncultured bacterium. RNAcentral describes it as "partial 16S ribosomal RNA". It matches the Rfam family "Bacterial small subunit ribosomal RNA", at positions 29 to 523 of the family's 1533-position model. The record is from RNAcentral.